Molecule: long non-coding RNA, 627 nt
Organism: Sapajus apella (tufted capuchin)
Lineage: Eukaryota; Metazoa; Chordata; Mammalia; Primates; Cebidae
Exons: 3
Source: RefSeq, a predicted model, not a curated record
CUGGCCUAUUUUUUCUUUUUCAUGGUGAGUACCCUAGCUGAGAUCCUUGUUGUGUCCAUGGAUGGUUGUAAGAGGUCCCUAAAUGACUAUUCUUUAUCCUGCCCCUUCAUUCUAUCAGCUGCUCUACACAUGCCCUCUGGAACAUUCUUUCAAGCUCAGAUCUCAUCAUGUGUGCCAUCGUCCAGUUAAUGAGUCUUUUGGGGUCCCCACUGCCAGCCCAGUGAAGGCCAAACUUGGCUGGUACUGAAGACCCUCAGCCAGUCUUGCUGGGUGGUCUUCAAGCUUUAUGUCCCAGCUCUAGAAUCUACAAUUCUCUUGGUUUCAAGUUGUUCCUCCCUGCUGGGACAAGUCCUAACGUGUGUGAUGGAUUAUAUUGUUUGCUGAGAACGACAGCAAGGAAAACUGAGCUGGCUCCCCAAGCAGAAGACUGCUCAGGGUGUUCUUUGUAUAUGUAUAUCAUACACCAGUUAAACUAAACGCGGGAUAUGUGACUCUGCCCUCAUUGCUCCCUCGUGGAGAAUGCUUUCUAGUUUGUUUUUGAUCAGUAGUAAGCAGACACCAGCUGCCUGCCUAGUUUAUCUUUAUUCUAUGAGAAAACACAGAACACCUAUUUGGAAAUAAAAAAUC